Molecule: transfer RNA, 70 nt
Filed under: Conus nobilis
Lineage: Eukaryota; Metazoa; Mollusca; Gastropoda; Neogastropoda; Conidae
Description: tRNA-Lys
Source: RNAcentral
UUCUAGGUGACUGAGUUAAAGUGCUAGAUUUUUAAUCUAGAAACAGCAUGUAGAGAGAUGCUCCUAGAAG